Molecule: ribosomal RNA, 384 nt
Filed under: Acanthamoeba genotype T4
Lineage: Eukaryota; Discosea; Longamoebia; Acanthamoebidae
Description: SSU rRNA
Rfam family: Eukaryotic small subunit ribosomal RNA
Source: RNAcentral
ACAUUAGCAUGGGAUAAUGGAAUAGGACCCUGUCCUCCUAUUUUCAGUUGGUUUUGGCAGCGCGAGGACUAGGGUAAUGAUUAAUAGGGAUAGUUGGGGGCAUUAAUAUUUAAUUGUCAGAGGUGAAAUUCUUGGAUUUAUGAAAGAUUAACUUCUGCGAAAGCAUCUGCCAAGGAUGUUUUCAUUAAUCAAGAACGAAAGUUAGGGGAUCGAAGACGAUCAGAUACCGUCGUAGUCUUAACCAUAAACGAUGCCGACCAGCGAUUAGGAGACGUUGAAUACAAAACACCACCAUCGGUGCGGUCGUCCUUGGCGCGUUGGUCUUCAAAAGCCAGCGCGCGGGGGCGGCUUAGCCCGGUGGCACCGGUGAAUGACUCCCUAGAC